RNAcentral lists this long non-coding RNA (339 nucleotides) under Chinchilla lanigera (long-tailed chinchilla). RNAcentral's name for it is "lncRNA (ENSCLAG00000024273.1)". Lineage: Eukaryota; Metazoa; Chordata; Mammalia; Rodentia; Chinchillidae. The record is from RNAcentral.
GACAACAGGUGAACCAGUGGAUACGCUGGUGUCAGAUUCUGUGCACUUCCAAAAUAAAGGAAAUGCAAGGGAAGAGCCUCUGGGCUCAGCUUGCAACCCAGUUUUGCAAAGCUCCUCCUGGACUUCCUGGACAUCCUUUAUGUACUGGAUACGAAACCCGCUGCUUAUUUUUUGAGGAGCAGGACGAGUGGUCCGCGUUCCACACGGGGACCUGUACUGGAUUCGCACACUUACUACUGUCCCAGUGCCGAUAUUUCAAGUCAUGAACGUAAAAUUACCAAUUAAGCAAUCUGAAAUGCUAAUUAAAUUCUUCAUAGAAAUUGCAUUCUUACUUAAGAG